This 463-nucleotide ribosomal RNA is filed under the name uncultured bacterium. RNAcentral describes it as "bacterial SSU rRNA". It matches the Rfam family "Bacterial small subunit ribosomal RNA", at positions 200 to 644 of the family's 1533-position model. The record is from RNAcentral.
GGAGAAGCAGGGGAUCGCAAGACCUUGCGCUUUUGGAGCGGCCGAUGCCUGAUUAGCUUGUUGGUGAGGUAAAAGCUCACCAAGGCUCCGAUCAGUAGCUGGUCUGAGAGGACGACCAGCCACACUGGGACUGAGACACGGCCCAGACUCCUACGGGAGGCAGCAGUGGGGAAUUUUGGACAAUGGGGGCAACCCUGAUCCAGCCAUGCCGCGUGAGUGAAGAAGGCCUUCGGGUUGUAAAGCUCUUUCAGCCGGAACGAAACGGUCACGGUUAAUACCCGUGACUACUGACGGUACCGGAAGAAGAAGCACCGGCUAACUACGUGCCAGCAGCCGCGGUAAUACGUAGGGUGCGAGCGUUAAUCGGAAUUACUGGGCGUAAAGCGUGCGCAGGCGGUUUUGUAAGUCAGAUGUGAAAUCCCCGGGCUUAACCUGGGAACUGCGUUUGAAACUACAAGGCUAG